UCCCGAUCCCGCCCCUGCAAUUCCCAGAUUUCCUCUUUUAGCAUUGCGCUCAACGUUAAGUUGCACGACGACGACGACGACGGCGAUCAUCAGGCAGACGCAAGCAGCAACGUAGAAUUCCUUCUGCGAGUGUGCGUGGAGGGUUAAGGAGAGCGGAGGAAGAGAGAGCACCCGGAUAAUUUGGUAGGCGACUUCGGCAGGGGAAAUCGAUCACAGGACCGUUCCUUGCCGUCCGCUCCCAAGUGACUGAAUUAAUUCGAAUGAUUCGAAUGUUUCGUUUCAGCUGGUUUUCAGCCGACUUCUCUCGCCCGUGUAUACGAAAUAAAGGAGCGUGCGUGCGAGGGAGCGAGCGAGCGAGUGAACGAGCGACCCGACAUUCUCCAGUCGGAUAGGUAUUUAACGGACGUACACGUGUCCGACCAUAUUGCGUUUGUGUCGUUCGAUAAAUAGGUGGCUAAGCAACUCCAACGGAAACCCGUGUUAAUUAACGUUGAGUUUCAGGACUGAUUUACGUGGCGUCUAAUUAGCGGGCCUGCCGGCGACGUAGUAGGCAUUUUGAUUGGCCGCGCCGCGAAUAGAACGCGGCCCGAUUGGCCUUGCCGGCGUGUCGUAUCGAUUGUUUUCGUUUCUUCUUCUUCUCCUCCUCCUCCUCCCCCCCUCUUCCUUCUCCUAUUCCCGUUUCUCUUUUUGUUUCGUCUUAAAAACAAAGGCCCGAAUAGACGCGCCAAAGCGCGGCUCUCUCGAAACGAGAGGAGCACUCGGGAUGCCGCAAUGCAAUUACCGAUCACGAACGUAAGUGAUAUCGCGAGCUCUAUAUUAGAAAACGUUGUUUCUAAUACAUGCAACCUUUAAAAAAUUAGGAAAAAAUUGUCUCAAGAUCGUGAGUUUUUUCAACGUCCAAAGGUGUCGAUUUUUCUCGUUAAUCCGGAUUGUAUCAUCUUUUUUUUUUUCUUUUCAUGACCACAAGACGGUCUGUUACGCAAAAAUGAAAGAGAGAGAGAGAGAGAGAGAGAGACUUCUGCUCGCUAAUUAAACCGCUCGCUUCGCGUCCUAAUCUUUUAUUUGCCGGCUGUCUCGCAGGCGUAUCAAUUAAAUCCGAGGUCAAGCGGGCGCGGUUACCGGCCCGUGUGCGUUCCGCGCGCGCAGUUUGUACACGCGUCUGUUAAUUAUGAACGUGUCACUGACGUAAUCGUCGUUCUCCUUCCGCGCUCCCUUCCCUUCUCUCUCUCUCUCUCUCUCUCCCUCGCCAUCGCGUGGCGAUUGAAACGCACGGCGCGCGAUUUGCACGGGAGCGUUAACGAGGCCUUUUGACGCGAGAAAAUUCGCGGAUGCCCCGCGGAUGCCCCCGCGAAAACACAAUGGGCGAUAAUACAGCUCACAAUCGCGAUCUUGAAUGCGAGCGCGCGAUGCAUUUUGAAACGUCAAGCGUGUGCAGUUUCUUCAAGUUUUGCGGCAAUUAACAGUCGACGGCGAAUAACAAACUGAAUUUAAUUAAUUGCAUAACUGCGAGCGGAGGCGGUCCCCUACCCCCUUUCUCUCUCCCUCUCUCUCUCUCUCUCUCGCUCGCUCGCUCUUUUCCCUCCUCACCCUUUCCGCCGCUACCGCCACCCUGCCCGCCAACCCCCACACUUCUAAUCGAAGCGGGGUACAUAUUGUUGCACCCGUUGCGCUCUGCCCCUCAUCAGCCCCACCGGCAAUUAAUUAUAGCAUUCCAGGUUAGCCCGGGAAUUAAUUACGUCCAGAAGUUGGACGAUGGCGAGAGGGGAGAUCGUUAGAAAUCGUCCUUCGUUAGAGUUAGGCGAGCGCCGGUCCAGGGUAAUUAUUGAUGGCCUCCUAUCAGGUCGCUCAUUGUGCCGAUAACGCGUUCGGCCGAGAGGGGGGAGGGAGGAUCUCAUCGACACCUCUGACUUUUCGGGGGGAGAGGAAAAAAAAAGAGCGAGGCAAAAAAUCCUAUUGCGUCUGUCGAACGAGCUGCUGGGAUCGACGUCUCUCGUUCACUCGUUCAAACGAUUUUUUUUUUUUUUUUUUUUUUUUCUAUACAACCCCGAAGCGCAAGAUAUCGGCGAGGGUAAAUCGCGAACGUCGGUGCAUCGUCGUCCUUCGUCGCGGAGCGACGGACCAAACGUUGGCGCAAAUCCGCGCAUCCCUCGCCCGGGGAAACUCCGUUGAUGACGACGCCGCGGACCACUUGUUCAACCACUCCUUAAUCCCUUCUGCUUGUUAACACCGCGCCAACGCUCUACCCCGCCGGCGGGACGUCGUACGUUGCCGGGGAGACAAAAAGGGAUCGUUAGCGCUCGUGAAACACGACGUGUCUCGCGCACGGGGGGGUUGGUGCGGAUGUCCCGCCGGUUAACCGCGCGAUCCUUUCCAAGUUACCUGCGUCGCGAAAUCACCGAUAAUCGGCAACGUAAAGGCGAGCAACAGGUUCAAGAGAAACGGACGCUCGUCGCCGAUCGAACGACGCGCUAACGAGCGAGAGACGCGCGAUGACGUUAAAAAAUGCGAAUCGUGCCGGCGCGCGCGUCGUCGAAUUUCCUCCCCCCCCCCCCCCUCGCGGACGUGAACGUGGUGGAAAAGGGUAAAAAGAAAGGAGGAGAGAAGAGUCGGUGAGGAGGAUGAAAGGGAGGAAAAGGGGAGGAAGGGGGAUGAGAGCGAGAUCCGGCGAGACAGGCGAGGGGGAGGGUUGCCCGCGCGAGGGUGGAUUAGUUGACACACUGGCGAGGCAAUUAUUAUUGUGAGUGGUUGGCGACGGGGACUCCGAUGAUAUUUUAUUUAAGAAACAAUCGGGUAAUAGCUCGCUUCAAGAGGAUAGAUAACGCCGAGCGCGAGCGCGGGCCUGGAGAGGCCGACCGAGCGGGGAGAAAAGUUGCGGCGGGAUAGAGACGGGCUACGAGAAAAGGGAAUUACGAUGGACGAGGGAGGGAAAGAUGAGGGGAGGCGAAAGGUGAACUUUGAGACUCGGGCUGGUAUCGGGGUAAGCUCUACAUUAGCGAAUUACCCGCGCGCGCGCGCGCGCACCCGCAAGUCCCUCGGCGGCGAACGAUAAAUAUAUAUACCGAGGGGCAAUCCGGAAAUAUUGUUCACAGGAUUCCGUAAAGAUCCGCAAAGAAAAAUCGGUGCUCUUCUCCCCGGGGGAAAGAAAGAGCCUCGAGUUCUUGGAUUCUCGGCGAGAGAGAGGACCAUCCAGAGACCUCUCGCCCCAGCUGUUUAUUUCAUUCGUUCUAUUCGCGAUCGGAAUUCGCGAUUUCGCGAGAUAAAACGAGUAGCGCGUAACCGCGUCCGCAGCGUCCUCGUCGCGACGUCGGCGACGUCAAAGUCAGAUUUGUUUUUCCGAGGGGGAGAAAAACGAACGGUGGCGCCAUCGAACGGCCGGCAGGUAGUACAUACUUUGCGUCAAGACUGGCGAUCCUAGAUCCUAACCUGCGACGAGCUCCCUCGAACGAAAAAACAAAUUUCCGAGGUGACUUUCUCGCGGGUGACAGGUGGUGACUGGUAUGGCGAAUGGCAAUCAUUGCAUGUACUUCGUCGAGCGCAAGAUGCGGUUCUGCCGUAUGACGGUGCGGGAGGGCAGGCGGUACUGCGGCGAGCAUCAGCAGGACGACGUCGAGGACGACAGGGUGCCCUGUCCGUUGGAUCCGACACACACGUGCUACCGGUCGAGGCUGACGAGGCACCUGGGCGUGUGCAACACCAAGCGGAGCCUGGACGAGCGACCGGUGUUCGUGGUCGACGGGGCGAACUUGGACGACGAGGACGCUAUCGCGGCGCCGCCGCGCGUGCCGCUGUCGCAGCUCGACGGGGCCGUCGUAGGGACGGUGAUAAGGAAGAUUUAUGCCGCCUACGAAGACCUGCCAGAAUUUUCCCAAACGAUUCUGAGGCAUGACGUGCUUCGAGACAAAUUGAACGAGGAAACCUGUGGCAGUAACGUUAAAAGACACUUGCUCCAAAAUGCAUCCCUACUGGGACAUCUGGAGCGAGUUGGUCUCCUGCGAGACAACACAUGCUUCAUCGAAUUUGGAGCUGGGAAAGCUCAGUUAACGUAUUGGCUGGGGCAGAUAAUAAAGGACAAGUCCAACUCUUGCGUCUUACUAGUUGAUCGUUCUAGUCACCGGCACAAGAACGACAACAAGCUUAGAAGAGAGGAGAGUCGUCUCGCGAUAAAAAGAAUACGCGCCGACAUCGCCGAUUUGCAGCUGAACCAGAUCGAAGAGAUCCAACCGAUCAAGUACAAGGUCGGCAUAGCGAAGCAUCUCUGCGGCGCGGCUACGGAUCUAACGAUACGUUGCUUGACGAAGUCGAUGAGCGGCGAGCCCAGAGUCGAUGUGCGCGGUCUAAUCGUCGCAUUUUGCUGCCACCACAAGUGUGAGUACUCGUCGUACGUGGGACGAGAAUACUUGCAACGAUGCGGCUUCACCGCGGACGAGUUUCCCAUUCUGUGUAGCAUCGUCAGCUGGGCGACCUGCGGCUUUCGUACGAAGGACGACUUUGACUCGCCGCGCGAUUCCACGAUGCCGCAGAAUGAGACGGCUGAUCGGUCCUCGAGAUCGGACGAGCGCGAAGUUAUCGGACGCAUGGCUAAAACGCUGCUUAAUUGGGGUCGCCUGGUCUUUUUGGAGAGCGUCGGCUUCCAAACUGAACUGCUUUACUACAUUCCCACUGAAGUUUCAUUGGAAAACAUGUGCGUGGUAGCCACGCGAGAACAUUCAUCGUGACUGAAAAAAUAGUACGUUCGAUGCGGACGCGGCCCGCGACUUGCUGCUCCUCUUGUCGCCUGAGGGAUACCGUUACGUCGUCGAGGGAAAACUGGUAUCGGCGACGCGAAGAAAGGCGAAGGAAAGAGAAAAAGAAAAAAAAUCCCCAUUGAGACGAGCGCGAGGAGUACCUGAAGAAUCCGUAUUUCAAGGAGCACGAGUACGGCGACUUUACGCCGUUCUAUGCGACAAUUGCGUUCUGCACCGUUCUAGGCGGAUUCCUGUUCAUCCUGAACAUCGUGUUCUGUUGGUGCUCGCGGCACCGUGAAUACUGGCAGAAUCGUCACACUGCAUAUUAUCCUAUUGGGAUUUAGGCAAUAGGUGGAUCCAGCCUCUAUGGACUGUAUUACCACACAAAACUCCGCCGCUUGAUCUUAGUGAGUUAGAAUCCGGC
RNA transcript from Monomorium pharaonis (pharaoh ant), 5148 nucleotides. It is a transcript of the gene named tRNA:m(4)X modification enzyme TRM13 homolog, with no coding region annotated. The record is from RefSeq and is a predicted model, not a curated record. The transcript has 8 exons. Lineage: Eukaryota; Metazoa; Arthropoda; Insecta; Hymenoptera; Formicidae.